GCAGAGUAAGUGCCUACGCGUUAAGUGCCGGAUGUACGGGGAGUUGACAUCUGGACGAAAGCCUUCGGGCUGCGGUGCAGGCAUUGCAUCCCGCUGC
Molecule: non-coding RNA, 97 nt
Filed under: Mitsuokella multacida
Lineage: Bacteria; Bacillati; Bacillota; Negativicutes; Selenomonadales; Selenomonadaceae
Description: THF riboswitch
Rfam family: THF (Tetrahydrofolate) riboswitch aptamer
About the family: THF riboswitch presents a pseudoknot that joins P1-P2 and the loop of P3 and two THF binding.
Source: RNAcentral